UACGGAGGGUGCAAGCGUUAAUCGGAAUUACUGGGCGUAAAGCGUGCGUAGACGGUUACAUAAGUCGGGUGUGAAAGCCCCGGGCUCAACCUGGGAAUUGCAUUCGAGACUGCGUAGCUAGGGUGCGGAAGAGGGAAGCGGAAUUUCCGGUGUAGCGGUGAAAUACGUAGAGAUUGGGAAGAACACCAGUGGCGAAGGCGGCUAUCUGGACGGUUUCUGACGCUAAGACGCGAAAAGCGUGGGGAGCAAACAGG
This 254-nucleotide ribosomal RNA is filed under the name uncultured bacterium. RNAcentral describes it as "partial 16S ribosomal RNA". It matches the Rfam family "Bacterial small subunit ribosomal RNA", at positions 524 to 776 of the family's 1533-position model. The record is from RNAcentral.